This 294-nucleotide ribosomal RNA is filed under the name Triticum aestivum (bread wheat). Its description in RNAcentral is "partial small subunit ribosomal RNA". The record is from RNAcentral. Lineage: Eukaryota; Viridiplantae; Streptophyta; Magnoliopsida; Poales; Poaceae.
AUGUCUUCCUCCGGUUCCUCCCAGAUCGGUCUCAACAACCAGGUCACGGAGAAGCUCACAUGUACGAACUAUGUACUGUGGCGCGUCCAGAUCACGCCGCAGCUAAGGGGAGCUGGCGUCUUCGGCUAUGCCGACGGCAGCACACCGGAGCCAGCCCGUUUUCUUCCUGGCAAGGAUAAGGAUGGCAAAGACUCCACCGAGCCCAACCCUCUCCACCCCAUCUGGGUCCGGAAGGAUCAACAGGUGCUCGGGUACCUGCUCAACAAUCUCUCCAAAGAGGUGUUGGUGCAGUGA